AUAUAUAUAUAUGAGAAAUGAUGUAUACCAAAGUUGUGUCAAAAUACAAGACAAUUAUGACAGCAGACUUAGCUCUACUUGUAUUUACUAUUGUGUUGAUUGUAUAAGAAUGUCUGGACUUAGGUUGAAAAUGAAGAUGCACAUGUUACAAAAUCUUUCCUCACAUUUGUAUAUCUGCUGAUUUCUCUCCCUGCUUUAUUUUCCACAAACUUGCAGCAGGCCGUGUCUUGCCUGGUGAAGCUGCUAAGUCCUCACAGACUAGCAGCAGGAACGUCCUUCUUGAUCAAGUCCAUCUCAUGUGUACAUACUGCCCUUUGAAAACUGAAGUGAUGUAUAGGCACAGAGGGUGGCAUUACUUAUUGGAGCCAUCCACUGAAGCAUAGUUUUGUGUCUUAUUUUUUGCUUCCACUUGUGUGUAUCCAUUUCACUGUAGUAUACAGUGAACAUAGUGCCCAGACAAACCUGUCAUGAUGUUCUGUCAGAUCUGUAUGCUUCAAGUGAAAGAUUGCAUUAACACAGGAAGUUUUAGUAAAAGAUUUGCUCUUCAAUGGGUGGGGCUAAUAAUCAGACCAUCCAAUGUAAAUAUCCAUCAUGAUAAAUUAUUUUAGACAAUUGGGUAUGUGUGUGUGUGGGGUUGACUCUGUGGAGGUGCACACAGGUCAGAAGUCCCCAAGAGGUGCCAUCACACAGCCAUGCUGACUGGACAGGACGGCACACUAAGACAAGGGAUCGCUUUGGGAAACAGUCACUUGCUUUUCUUGAUGUAAAGAGUCUGUUGGCUAAAACAAAAUCUUCCUCCCCCAGCAUGUCAUCUGAAGACAGUUGACCUGUCAGCACAAAAGAUAACUUUAUAAAAGAAUGAGAAAGAGAUGGAAUUAAUGAAGUAAGGAGUGAGAGCCUGUAGUAAAGUUUCCUACACAAAGGGCUGCCAGUCCUGCCACCUCAAGUCCUUGAAUGUUGAUGUCAAUUCCACCUCAUUCUGAUUUGUUAUGUUUUGUUUUCAGAAUGAAGGAAAAUGUAGUAGUAUUUUUUUGUUAUCCUUACAAAAAUGGGACAAGAUAAGGUUAACUUACUGUUUGUUAAUUUCUGAACUUGCAGUGCAUUGCUCUGAAGAUAUUGUAAUAUCAGUCAUUGAAUGUUGCUCUUGGAAUCAGUCAUAUAUAUCUGGAUUCUUCCCCAAUUCAUAACUGUCUGCAGGAAGAUCUUUGAUUCUAAAUAAUGUAUAGCAAGAUGAAAACCAUUGGGAAACUACUAAAGUGUCAAGAGAAGACUUAUCAUAAAGCAAACAAAGCCAGGCUGCUAGACUAGAGGAAGAAGUCCCUGGUGAGCACCUUACCUUGGUAAUGCAGGAAUUGGUGUCUGCAUGGUGGUGGAUCUAACAAAAUCCCUUGUGCUGUGGUCUUGAGAAGAGUCAGCACAUAUCCUACUCUAGAUCCCCGUAUCUUAACAAGGAGGGUAGUGGCACGUCCUCUUAUUACUAGUGUUUACAUCAUGUCUUGCGUCUCUAAUGCUCAUAUCAUUUGAAUUAUAAUCUAUUCGAAUGAAUGUAUAAUUAAUUUGUUAUAAAAUAAAUGUAUUUUUAAAUAUGUUGAAUACCUGUUGACCUUUGUUUCUCCUUCUGACAUCACUGAAGAAAAGGAUGUACAAUUGGGAUCUAACUGCUGUUUUAGAUUAUACUUAGUAACUGAAAUAAGACCUUAUGUGGGGUAAUGAACAAAAUAUGUCCAUAGUUGAUAAAUAAGGUAAUAAAACUGCAUCAUGUUCCAUAGCCUCUAACAUCCUCAGAAAGCUGGAUUUGAAUGUGGUACUUGAUAUGAGCCUGUUGUAGAUACCUCGCUGGAGGACAGACAAGCUAUGACAUAAGUUUUGGUACUGCCCACUACAUACUGGAGCUGAGUCACAGUGAUCCCUGCAUCCUUCCUUUACUCAUUACACGUGUGUAAUAAAUCUAAAGUCAGAUUGUAGUUAAAUAGUAAUUAUUUCUCAAUAAUGAAAUGUUCUUAUCAAAUCUCUGACAUUGUGUGCAAUAGCUGUGCGUAGUUAGAUAUCUUGCAAUAGUUGACAGUUGGAAAGGUUUUGAUUCGUUGAUUGAGCACAAGAGUGUUGGUAUCUGUUUUGCACGAAAAUUGUUGGAUGCAUAGAGGCAUUUAUCAGGGAGUUCCAGUUUUGCAGAUCACCAGGAAGUUUUUGGUGAUACAACGCUUGCCAGGAAUGGCUGAUCUGCACCACAUAAGUGAUUUGUCAGUAAGGGAAAAGUACGUACAGUGCACACACCUAAUAAAAUAAAUGAAUAAAAGAAAGAAGGAAAGAAUAUCGUGUUUCUUAGUUAUUUGAUGACACAUAUUGAUUGUGGUACAAAUAAUUAAAAAAAAAAAACAUUGGUAAAAUAAACUACAGUUUACUGCUACUACUACUACUACUACUACUACUACUACUACUACUGCUGCUGCUGCUAAUAAUAAUAAUAAUAAUAAUAAUAAUAAUAAUAGUAAUGCAGUCGAUCAAAGCAAAGUGAACUUUAAAAAAUCUCUGGAGUUCCUUGGGCUUCCAAAUAUUAUAAAAAUUGGGCUUCAAAAAUUUCUUUGGACGUAUUUUGACAAGAAUAAGCAUACCGUAUUAAUACAUAAUUGUGACUUGCGUGCUGUAUUAAUAUUAAUAUGCGAAGGGAAAAAAAAAAAUGGUCACUUCUCUGCGUUGCUAUCUUGAAAACCGUCCCUCUUGCGAGAUUAAUAUGUUUGUCUCCUUCAUCACAUCUUGACAGACUGAACGUGCGCACCUCUUCAAUUCAUCGACAAUGGAGCAGCCAAAGCCUGGUCAAAGGUAAUUUGGCAGCACUAGUGUCAAAUUGUGGUUCCUGAAUGGCUGGGCCGUGUCCGGCAAGUCUGAGUUGCCAGUUGUAUUUUGGACAUCCAGCAGCACACUUGCUUUCAGACACCUGUGGCAAGUGCAAGACAAAGAGGUGAGAAUGGAGGAUGCUGUAACAUUCACAGCGUAACUAGUGUAAGUUUUAUUUUUUGUGAAAGGUGUAGGUAGUGUACAUAGUUUCAACCAUAGGAUUGUAUACAUGUCAUCAUAUUCAUAGACUUCAUGACUUGACAUUGUGUUCACCUUUGUGUGGAUCAAGUAAUUUAUUUUCAUGUACAUGUUUAUUUAGUAACAGUUUAGUUGAACUUGAUUUGUAUAUGUUACAAGAGAUCUUGCAUUAUGAAGAUUUACUUAAAGUUCUUAGUGCAGCCUUUGUUUAUCAGCAUCAUUUAGUUCAGUCAGUUUUUGUCAGCCAUCUAAUUCAUGCACUCCUUUAUUUUGCUCAUGGUGUCAGUUCAAAGCCUGCAUACUAAUCCCCUACUACUUGAGCCAUCUCUCUAGGCACACUCACACUUCCAUCUCACUGUGUUCUCUUUCAGUCUAAAGUCCUUUCACUUUUUAAUUAUUGGUCCAGAUUUUACAAACAUGAAGCUUUGCAUUUUCUACAGAUGAAAGUUCACAGUCAUAACUGCAAGGUCUCUGUGCAGUUGUUGUAGUCAGGUGUGGUAGUUAUUUCUUUCCAUAAAUGUCUUAUUUA
RNAcentral lists this long non-coding RNA (3562 nucleotides) under Portunus trituberculatus (swimming crab). RNAcentral describes it as "uncharacterized LOC123506230". Lineage: Eukaryota; Metazoa; Arthropoda; Malacostraca; Decapoda; Portunidae. The record is from RNAcentral.